GACUUGGUAGCUCAGUUGGUAGAGCAAAUGACUCUUAAUCAUUGGGUCGAGGGUUCGAGCCCCUCCCAGGUCACAA
Molecule: transfer RNA, 76 nt
Filed under: Parabacteroides distasonis
Lineage: Bacteria; Pseudomonadati; Bacteroidota; Bacteroidia; Bacteroidales; Tannerellaceae
Also listed under: 11 other names
Description: tRNA-Lys
Rfam family: tRNA
About the family: Transfer RNA (tRNA) molecules are approximately 80 nucleotides in length. Their secondary structure includes four short double-helical elements and three loops (D, anti-codon, and T loops).
Source: RNAcentral